This 239-nucleotide ribosomal RNA is filed under the name uncultured bacterium. RNAcentral's name for it is "partial 16S ribosomal RNA". It matches the Rfam family "Bacterial small subunit ribosomal RNA", at positions 538 to 776 of the family's 1533-position model. The record is from RNAcentral.
GCGUUGCCCGGAUUUAUUGGGCGUAAAGGGCGCGUAGGCGGUCACGCACGUCCGUUGUGAAAUCGCUCGGCUCAACUGGGCGGGGUCAGCGGAUACGGCGUGGCUGGAGCAAGCUAGGGGGCAAUGGAAUUCCCGGUGUAGUGGUGGAAUGCGUAGAUAUCGGGAGGAACACCAGUGGCGAAGGCGGUUGCCUGGAGCUUUGCUGACGCUGAUGCGCGAAAGCGUGGGGAGCGAUCCGG